This 711-nucleotide long non-coding RNA is filed under the name Marmota monax (woodchuck). Lineage: Eukaryota; Metazoa; Chordata; Mammalia; Rodentia; Sciuridae. The record is from RNAcentral.
GUCAAGUUGACACUCCCUACAGCACCGUUCCAUUCCAGCUGCUUUCAUAAUUCUCCUCUUGUUUCCAAUUUUCAUAAAUUUGAUUAUGAGAGGUCCCGGUGUAGAUUUUCUUAUGCUUGUAUUUAUGUCUGGGAUUUGCUGUUUCCUGAAUCAGGAAGUUUAUAUCUUCUGCCAAAUUUGGGGAAAUUUCAGGAAUCAUUUCUAUGAGUGUUUUCUCAGUUCCAUGCCCUUUGACUUCACUGAAGGUGAGAACUGGACAAGAACCAGCUGGACUUGGGCUGAGUGAAGGGAGAUGGGAGCACUCCUGGGCGUGAAAUGAGCUGGGAACCCAGCAACCGGCUGAUUCAAGGAAGUCUUUCCAUCAGGCUGCAGGCCUGGGCUGUGAGGGUUCCACAGGAAUACAGCGUUUAGUACAGGAAUUGUCAAGACUCAGGAAUCAGGUCUUGACACUGCAGGUGGCAGAUCAGCGAAACACAAUCAUAAGCCCAUUCUAGUAAAUAGUGUAUCAAAUGGUAACCCAAAGUGAUCCAGAGAUCAGAGAUAUAAUUUCCAGUCUAGAAAGAAGUGAUGAUGAUGAUGAUGAUGAUGACGACGAUGAUGGUGUCAUCUUUACCUCAGGUAAUCCGGGAAAGGUGAUUAAUAUUACAUUUAGGGCUGUAAACUUUAGGGCCAACAACUUUGAAGUUACUGUGAACUUUGAAUGUGUUAUCU